GACGAACGCUGGCGGCGUGCUUAACACAUGCAAGUCGAACGGAAAGGCCCUGCUUUUGUGGGGUGCUCGAGUGGCGAACGGGUGAGUAACACGUGAGUAACCUGCCCUUGACUUUGGGAUAACUUCAGGAAACUGGGGCUAAUACCGGAUAGGAGCUCCUGCUGCAUGGUGGGGGUUGGAAAGUUUCGGCGGUUGGGGAUGGACUCGCGGCUUAUCAGCUUGUUGGUGGGGUAGCGGCUUACCAAGGCUUUGACGGGUAGCCGGCCUGAGAGGGUGACCGGCCACAUGGGGACUGAGAUACGGCCCAGACUCCUACGGGAGGCAGCAGUGGGGAAUAUUGCACAAUGGGCGGAAGCCUGAUGCAGCAACGCCGCGUGCGGGAUGACGGCCUUCGGGUUGUAAACCGCUUUCGCCUGUGACGAAGCGUGAGUGACGGUAAUGGGUAAAGAAGCACCGGCUAACUACGUG
This 468-nucleotide ribosomal RNA is filed under the name uncultured bacterium. RNAcentral's name for it is "partial 16S ribosomal RNA". It matches the Rfam family "Bacterial small subunit ribosomal RNA", at positions 28 to 507 of the family's 1533-position model. The record is from RNAcentral.